RNA transcript from Piliocolobus tephrosceles (Ugandan red Colobus), 1762 nucleotides. It is a transcript of the gene named 40S ribosomal protein S3a pseudogene, with no coding region annotated. The transcript has a single exon. The record is from RefSeq and is a predicted model, not a curated record. NCBI's taxonomy places the organism in Eukaryota, Metazoa, Chordata, Mammalia, Primates, Cercopithecidae.
UGUACUUUUAGUAGAGACAGGGUUUCACUUUGUUGGCCAGGCUGGUCUGGAACUCCUGACCUCAUGAUCCACCCGCUUGGGCCUCCCGAAGUGCUGGGAUUACAGGCGUGAGCCAGUACACCUGGCUGUAUUUCUAGAACAGCAGGAACAAAGGCAUGGAAUUAAGGGAGGUAAGUAAUCUUGGUCAGAAUCAUACAGUAGGACAAUAUGAGAUGAAAUUUGAGGGAGGCUCAAGUGGAUUAGCUUUUUAUUUCCUAAAGAUGAAGGGGCCAAGAUCAGGUUCCGGACUUGAGGAAUGGAAAAUAUUUGGAAUAAGCCCUCAAAGUUAGGGCCAAAAGAAUCCAAGUGAAGGCGAGUUUAGUUUUUGUGGUCUUAGCCUGUUUCUCUAAUGUGGGCGCACUACAUUAGAAAAAAGUGGGAAGGCCCUUUUGACUCUCUGACCAGCCCAUGGUGGUUGGCAAGAACAAGCACCUUACGAAAGGUGGCAAAAAGGGAGCCAAGAAGAAAGUGGCUGAUCCAUUUUCUAAGAAAGAUUGGUAUGAUGUGAAAGCACCUGCUAUGUCCAAUAUAAGAAAUAUUGGAAAGACAUCACCAGGACCCAAGGAACCAAAAUUGCAUCUGAUGGUCUCAAGCGUUGUAUGUUUUAAGUGAGUCUUGCUGAUUUGCAGAAUGAUGAAAUUGCGUUUAGAAAAUUCAAGCUGAUUACUGAAGAUGUUCAGGACGAAAACUGCCUAACUUCCAUGGCGUGGAUCUUACCUGUGACAAAAUGUAUUCCAUGGUCAAAAAGUGGCAGACAAUGAUUGAAGCUCAUGUUGAUGUCAAGACUACUGAUGGUUACUUGCUUCAUCUGUUCUGUGUUGGUUUGACUAAAAAACGCAACAAUCAGAUACGGAAGACCUCUUAUGCUCAGUACCAACAGGUCCGCCAAAUCCAGAAGAAGAUGAUGGAAAUCAUGACCCGAGAGGUGCAGACAAAUGACUUGAAAGAAGUGGUCAAUAAAUUGAUUCCAGACAGCACUGGAAAAGACAUAGAAAAGGCUUGCCAAUCUAUUUAUCCUCUCCAUGGUGUCUUCGUUAGAAAAGUAAAACUGCUGAAGAAUCCCAGGUUUGAAUUGGGAAAGCUCAUGGAGCUUCAUGGUGAAGGCAGGAGUUCUGGAAAAGCCACUGGGGACGAGACAGGUGCUAAAGUGGAACGAGCUGAUGCAUAUGAACCACCAGUCCAAGAAUCUGUUUAAAGUUCAGACUUCAAAUAGUGUCAAAUAAAAAGUGCUAUUUGUGAAAAAAAGAAAAAAGAAAAAAGUGGGAGGGGUAGUCCAGAUAUGACAGAAGGAUAAAGGGUGAAGGAAUCAAGAAUACAAAUGAGAAUGUCUUUAAAAUUGCCAAACACAGAUUCCAGUAUGUACAGGAAGACAAAGGAGACAGGUUAAUUAGGGAGUGGGAUAGGGCUCAGGGACCAAAGCCUCCUAAGGGAUGCGCAAAGGUAGUUUCCAGGAAGGGACUCUUGAUUUGGUUGACUGGAAGAACCAAACAACAAUUAGCCCUAGGCUUCCUCCAAGGAAAUUCCCUAAAGAAAAGUCUUGCUAUUCAGAGUGUUAUUAAGUCCCAGGGUCUUCGUUGCCACUAAUAGAUCUUUUGGAGGGCCUGAUAUCAGAUAUUUCCCUAUUCUUAGGAGGAGAUGGCUGUUCAGGGAAGGCCAGAUGUUAACAGAAGAAACAGAAGGAUAUUAAACAUUCCAUUAAGCUGGUGAUUGGACAAGAAAAAAA